Molecule: long non-coding RNA, 531 nt
Filed under: Lactuca sativa (garden lettuce)
Lineage: Eukaryota; Viridiplantae; Streptophyta; Magnoliopsida; Asterales; Asteraceae
Description: long non-coding RNA (LSAT_LNC002466)
Source: RNAcentral
GCUUAUACCGCCAGAUUUAGCGAACUGGUGGCCCUCUGCCCCAAUAUGGUUCCCACUGAAGGGAAAAAGAUCGAAAGGUACAUACGGGGGCUAGUGCCUCCGUAUCAGGGGAAUGUCCUAUCAUCAAACCCCGCUACCUUCGAUAGUGCCAAGCGACUGACAUAGCGACUCAUUGACCAUGGAGUNCCCGCUACCUUCGACAGUGCCAAGCGACUGACACAGCGACUCAUUGACCAUGGAGUCAAAACCCCUGCAACAACAACCACCCUAGCCAUCCCGGAACCCUCCAAACCCGCUGACACUAAGCGGAAGUUCUGGGAAGACAAGAAGAAACAGCGAGCUGCUAAAAAGCAGCAAGUUGUGGCUGUACAUGCCGCGAUAACCCCUGCUGCUGAAACUGCUCCGGUGAGGCAGUAUGCUGGAAGUUUGCCUAAGUGCAACAAAUGCAACUUCCACCACAACGGCCCCUGCCGUGAAAUGCAGUGCUCUAACUACAAUAGGAAAGGACACACCGUCCAUUUCUGUAAAUCC